This 75-nucleotide transfer RNA is filed under the name Phycisphaerae bacterium. RNAcentral describes it as "tRNA-Asp". It matches the Rfam family "tRNA". From Rfam's summary of the family: Transfer RNA (tRNA) molecules are approximately 80 nucleotides in length. The record is from RNAcentral. Lineage: Bacteria; Pseudomonadati; Planctomycetota; Phycisphaerae. RNAcentral also lists the same sequence under 1 other name.
GGGGCGGUAGCUCAAUUGGUUUAGAGUACCGGCCUGUCACGCCGGUGGUUGCGGGUUCGAGUCCCGUCCGCCUCG